Molecule: long non-coding RNA, 1135 nt
Filed under: Helianthus annuus (common sunflower)
Lineage: Eukaryota; Viridiplantae; Streptophyta; Magnoliopsida; Asterales; Asteraceae
Description: hypothetical non coding rna
Source: RNAcentral
UUCAGCAUUAAUAUUCAAAACCGGCUGUUUUCGGACGUUUUAAUAAAAUAGUUAAAUCAUUCCAAAAAUUCCCAAAUUUUUACAAGAUGACUUAAACGUUCCAUAUUUUAUUGUGUAAAAAUAUCGGGGUCCGGUUCACUACCAAUAUUUUAUAAAAAAUCAUAUUCCGGACUGAACUCAGAUUUAUGAAUUUCUGACCACAGUCCACGGAACAAUUUAUUAAAAAUUCAUCGAGUGUCCGAUUUACGAAAUUCCAGUGGGGUAAUUACACAUGCAUCGGUUGUCAUCUACUGUACAAAUUUCAUGGUCCGAUUCAUCACAAAACUCAGGUUAUGACUGAAAGUACGACACCCAUUUAUUGCUGUCAAAAUUCAGCUUAAGUUGCUGUUACAAAUUAACACUUUAAAAAUAGUAAACGAAGUCCAAAAAUUACGAUUCCGGUGCCAUUAGAACCGUAUUUCAUAAUAUCACAUUUUAGACUCAAAAUAUCAGUUUUUCGUUGAGUUUAUGGCCUGUUUACAGCCAACUGAAGUUGGCUGUAAACCAACUGAAGUUGGCUGUAAAGUACGGACAGAUUGCUGUUUUUAGUCUCUAGCUUACUAGUUUGUGCUCGGUUGAUCCCGUUAAUUAUGUUUAGUGAUCGUAACAACAUCAAACAUCCAUAUAAUCCAGCAACACAUCAGAUAAUCAACCAAUAAUCAUAAUCACACAAGAUCUACAUGCUUUACACUAAUAUUCAUCCAUUAACCACCUUGUUCAUCAUUUUAGUAGACUUUUAGACUUUGAUCUUAUGUGUUCAUAAUUUUUAACCGACAAAUCUCUUAUUAACCAUAUCAAACAUGAACAAGAAGUUGAUUAGAAGCACUUACAACUAGCUCAAGGCUAGGGAAGAAACUAUGCGAAAAAGAGGUGGAUAAAAGCAAGAUAGAGAGGUCCUUCGCCUUCCGUUAGCUCCAAGACUCCUUAUGCGUGACCCGUAACACUUGUAUAACUUUGGAAUGAGGAGAUCAAGAGCCGAAAAUGGUGGUGUGUUCAAGGGGGGUCUCGGCCGUGAGCUAGGGAGGAGAGGAGAGAAAGAGAGUUUUGGUGGAAUGGUGGUAUUUAUAAGAUCUUCCAUAUAGCAUAUUCCUAGCAU